UACGAAGGGGGCUAGCGUUGCUCGGAAUCACUGGGCGUAAAGCGCACGUAGGCGGAUCUUUAAGUCAGGGGGUGAAAUCCUGGAGCUCAACUCCAGAACUGCCUUUGAUACUGAGGAUCUUGAGUCCGGGAGAGGUGAGUGGAACUCCGAGUGUAGAGGUGAAAAUUCGUAGAUAUUCGGAAAGAACACCAGUGGCGAAGGCGGCUCACUGGCCCGGUAUGACGCUGAGGUGCGAAAGCGUGGGGAGCAAACA
This 253-nucleotide ribosomal RNA is filed under the name uncultured bacterium. RNAcentral describes it as "partial 16S ribosomal RNA". It matches the Rfam family "Bacterial small subunit ribosomal RNA", at positions 524 to 774 of the family's 1533-position model. The record is from RNAcentral.